UGGGGAAUCUUGGACAAUGGGCGCAAGCCUGAUCCAGCCAUGCCGCGUGCGGGAAGAAGGCCUUCGGGUUGUAAACCGCUUUUGUCAGGGAAGAAACGCUCUGGGCUAAUACCCUGGGGUAAUGACGGUACCUGAAGAAUAAGCACCGGCUAACUACGUGCCAGCAGCCGCGGUAAUACGUAGGGUGCAAGCGUUAAUCGGAAUUACUGGGCGUAAAGCGUGCGCAGGCGGUUAUGCAAGACAGAUGUGAAAUCCCCGGGCUCAACCUGGGAACUGCAUUUGUGACUGUAUAGCUAGAGUACGGUAGAGGGGGAUGGAAUUCCGCGUGUAGCAGUGAAAUGCGUAGAUAUGCGGAGGAACACCGAUGGCGAAGGCAAUCCCCUGGACCUGUACUGACGCUCAUGCACGAAAGCGCGGGGAGCAAACAGGAUUAGAUACCCCAGUAGUCCCUGAGCGGGCUGGCAAGGCGCAU
This 472-nucleotide ribosomal RNA is filed under the name uncultured bacterium. RNAcentral describes it as "bacterial SSU rRNA". It matches the Rfam family "Bacterial small subunit ribosomal RNA", at positions 355 to 825 of the family's 1533-position model. The record is from RNAcentral.